UCACCCCUCAAGCUCCGGCUUGGUGUUGGGCUAGAUUUGUCACAAAAUCGGCCUCAAAGAUAGUGACGGCGUCCCAGAUGGAACCGGUACGAGGAGCUUUUAACCAAGCAUGUACGCGGCGUGAAUCUGUGGGCGGCGGUCUUUAACCACUACUCUUCGGAGUACUUUCUCAG
RNAcentral lists this unclassified non-coding RNA (173 nucleotides) under uncultured Rhinocladiella. RNAcentral's name for it is "partial internal transcribed spacer 2". The record is from RNAcentral. Lineage: Eukaryota; Fungi; Ascomycota; Eurotiomycetes; Chaetothyriales; Herpotrichiellaceae.